UGGGCCCCUUCCUCACGCGGUGGCGACAGCUGCUCGGCUGCGGCCUCCCUCGGAGAAACUCCGGCCGAGAGGAUGAAGGGCGGGGCCGCCUCCCGGGAGCAGUGAGGCGGCUGCGGCGCCAUGUCUUGUGGUCCCAAGAGGCAUCUGAAGCAGGUAGCAGGUCCAAAGCAUUGGAUGCUGGAUAAACUGACUGUUCCUCAUCCAUCCACCAGUCCCCACAAGUUGAGAGACUAUGUCCCUCUCAUCAUUUUCCUAAGGAACAGACUUAAGUACGCCUUGACAGGAGAGGAAGUCAAGAAGAUUUGCAUGCGGCAUUUCAUUAAGAUCAAUGGCAAGGUCUGAAUUGAUAUAACCUACCCUGCUGGAUUCAUGGAUGUCAUCAGCAUUGAUGAGAUGGGAGAGAAUUUCUGUCUGAUCUAUAACAACAAGGGUCGCUUUGCUGUACAUCAUAUUACACUUGAGGAGACCAAGUACGAGUUGUGCAAAGUGAGAAAAAUCUUUGUGGACACAAAAGGAAUCCCUCAUCUGGUGACUCAUGAUGCUUACACCAUCUGCUACCCUGAUCCUCUCAUCAGGGUGAAUGACACCAUUCAGAUCAAUUUGGAGACUGGCAAGAUUACUGAUUUCAUCAAAUUCGACACUGGUAACCUGUGUAUGGUGACUGGGGGUGCUAACCUGGGAAGAAUUGGUGUGAUUACCAACAGAGAGAGGCACCCUGGAUCUUUUGACGUGAUUCACGUCAAAGAUGCCAAUGGUAACAGCUUUGCCACUCGACUUUCCAACAUUUUUGUUAUUUGCAAGGACAAUAAACCAUGGUUUUCUAUUCCUCGAGGAAAGGGUAUCUGCCUUACCAUUGCUAAAGAGAGAGACAAGAGAUUGGCAGCCAAACAGAGCAGUGGGUGAAAUGGUCCCUGGGUGACAUGUUAGAUCUUUGUACAUAAUUAAAAAUAACGUGGCAUGAUUGAUAGC
Non-coding RNA from Saimiri boliviensis boliviensis (Bolivian squirrel monkey), 969 nucleotides. Lineage: Eukaryota; Metazoa; Chordata; Mammalia; Primates; Cebidae. The record is from RefSeq and is a predicted model, not a curated record.